Non-coding RNA from Eptesicus fuscus (big brown bat), 99 nucleotides. RefSeq annotates it as microRNA mir-9256b-4. The transcript has a single exon. The record is from RefSeq and is marked provisional. Lineage: Eukaryota; Metazoa; Chordata; Mammalia; Chiroptera; Vespertilionidae.
UACAUAGAAAAGAUCAAUAUACACUGAGUGGCCAGAUUAUUAUGAUCUCUGAACGCAUAAUAAUCAGGCCACUCAGUGUAUAUCCUAUAUAAUCCUAUA